RNAcentral lists this ribosomal RNA (496 nucleotides) under uncultured bacterium. RNAcentral's name for it is "partial 16S ribosomal RNA". It matches the Rfam family "Bacterial small subunit ribosomal RNA", at positions 28 to 506 of the family's 1533-position model. The record is from RNAcentral.
GAUGGACGCUGGCGGCGUGCCUAAUACAUGCAAGUCGAGCGAACAGACGAGGAGCUUGCUCCUCUGACGUUAGCGGCGGACGGGUGAGUAACACGUGGAUAACCUACCUAUAAGACUGGGAUAACUUCGGGAAACCGGAGCUAAUACCGGAUAAUAUAUUGAACCGCAUGGUUCAAUAGUGAAAGACGGUUUUGCUGUCACUUAUAGAUGGAUCCGCGCCGCAUUAGCUAGUUGGUAAGGUAACGGCUUACCAAGGCAACGAUGCGUAGCCGACCUGAGAGGGUGAUCGGCCACACUGGAACUGAGACACGGUCCAGACUCCUACGGGAGGCAGCAGUAGGGAAUCUUCCGCAAUGGGCGAAAGCCUGACGGAGCAACGCCGCGUGAGUGAUGAAGGUCUUCGGAUCGUAAAACUCUGUUAUUAGGGAAGAACAAAUGUGUAAGUAACUAUGCACGUCUGGACGGUACCUAAUCAGAAAGCCACGGCUAACUACGU